RNAcentral lists this unclassified non-coding RNA (1600 nucleotides) under Hevea brasiliensis (rubber tree). Lineage: Eukaryota; Viridiplantae; Streptophyta; Magnoliopsida; Malpighiales; Euphorbiaceae. The record is from RNAcentral.
UGGAAAGCAAGGAGAUGCAAAAGGGCAUAGCAUUUUUUACAAUGAAUCUAUGAACUCUCAGUCAGAAGAUAAAAACCUUGAUUCAUGAUAUCAUCAAACUGUCAAUGACCUCGGAGUGAUUAGAGAGUUUAUUGUCCUUGAAUACCAUAGCAAUAGCCAUUUUCCACAAAUCUGUAUCAAUUACAUUUGCCUUAACUAGACUAUUCAAAACUGAACAUAAUAAAUCCUCAUUCCCCUCCUCGCACAACCUGUUAACAUAUUUACAUAUAAUAGAAGAACGAGGUGUAAAACCUUUGAAAAUCAUCUCAUCCAAAAUAAAUGCUGCUUCAUUGAGCUGCAUCCCAUCACAAAGCCCAUCAAAAAGAAUCCUAUAUGACACAACAUCAGGAGCACAGCCACGCCUUGGCAUAUCUUCAAAUAAAUCUUUUGCUUCGCUCCAGUUCCCAUCCUUGCAUAACUCACCAAGUAUCACAUUAUAACUAAUGACAUCUGGUUUACAUCCCUUCUCCAUCAUUUCAACCAAAAUUUUAUAAGCUGCUUUGAAAUCCUUAUCCUUACAAAAGCCAUUAAUUAUCACAUUGUAAGUCACAGUAUCAGGCUUGCAGCCACUUAAAUUCAUUUCCUCCAAAAUUCCAUGAACCUCCUCUUUCCUUCCAACUUUAAAGAGCCCACUAAUCAAAGUAGAAUAAAUCGCUGAGUCCAAUUUGAUUCCAUCCCUAACCAUCUCUUCCUUGAGACUAAAAGCUAAACUUAACUCACCAACCCCACAGACCCCCUUUAACAACGAUGCAUAGACAUAAGCAUCAGGACACACCCCAUGGACCUUAGCCAUAUAAUUCUUCAACUUAAAAGCCUCUUCCAACUUUAAAUCCAAACAAAGCCCGUAAAUCAAAGUCCCAAAUGUCACCACAUUAGGAAAAAGGUCUCUCCUUCUCAUUUCGUUGAACACCUUCCAUGCAUCAUCUACUCUCCUAUCCGAACAUAACCCACGAAUCAGUAUAUUGUAAGUGCAAGCGUCCGAUUUCAAAUGUCUCUCAAGAUAUGCAAAAAGCUCUCUCAUUCUACCAAACUCUUUGCACAUUAUGAAUACGUUUAGCAAGGAAUUAAAGGAUUUUAUAGUCCUUUGACAGCGAAAAGAAGGCAUUUUGUCAAACACUUGGAGCGCAUUAUUAGGGAGGCGUGCACAGCCAUAAUAUGUGAUAAUAUUGCAAAAGAGAGCUUCUUUGGGGACAAAACGUGUUUCAGAUUUGAGUUGAAGGAGGAUUUUCUCCAUUUCAUCAAACAUUUUAGCACGCCCAAGUUUGGUAAUGAUGAGGUCAUAGGAGAGAAGGGAAUAGCGAAACUGUUGCUGGGGUAUUUGAGGGUUUGGGUUCUCAAAGAGAUGGAGUGCAAGCUUAGGGUCUUUCUGGAGACGGAGGAGAGAGGAAAGCCUGUAGGAGUUGAUGGGUUUUAGUGGGUUCAUUUCUGCGUUGCAGAGGUUUGACAAAUGGAAUGAGCAAACGGAGUAGUGUUUCUGCUUCCCGCCAAAAAAAUGCUAUAUCACUAGUUGUCCGUUAUCAACAUUUCCGGUAUUAAAUCUGACAACCUGUUAUCGACCGGC